CGGCGUGUGGCGUGGCGGGGCGCGGCUGCCGGUGCACAAACAACCCCACCCCGCAGGGUCGGGCGGCGCGGGCGGCGCGGCGCGCUGGGCGGCUUUGCGUAGAGCGGACCAUGAGGCCGGCCAGACGGUUUGUUUAGACUUGGCCGUCGCGGGCGGGGCAGACCAGAGCAGGGGCGGCGCGGCGGCGGCGAGUCCCCCACCCACGCCUAGACAGGCUGUGCGCCUCGGCCCGCGGUGCUGCUGCAGCUGCACCAGGGAGAUGUCCGGCACAAGCCGCGAGUCUCCACUACGCUGCCCAGCUACUGGGUCCUGAGGAGGGCCUCCCCGGGCGCGCGGGCGCAGGGCGGCCGCUGGACGACGGCGACGGACGUUUUGUCUUCCAUAGAGGCGGGUUAGGGCGGGGCCACGGGGCCGCUGCCCUGCAGGAGUCACCGUCCUCCCCUGAGCCCCGCACCACCUCGCCGUCGCAAGCUCGACCCCGAGCACGAGCGUGGCCAGGGCGAGGCCGAUGAAGAGCACGUAGAACGCCGGGGCCAUCAUCUUCAGCGUGAGAGCCAUCACCUGCUGCAGGGACACCAAGUACCUCGCGAGCGCCACCUUGUUACCUUCGUCCAGCUUGUCCUCCCAAUGGUCCAGGAUCCCGGCUUGAUCCAAGCGCUCGUACGUCAAAUGGGACAGCUCGCCCAGCGGCGACCCAUGGGUCCACGCGGCGAUCAACCUUCUGUUGUCAGGGACAAUAGGGAACGAGUGCACCUUCUUCUGCGGGAUGGUCAGUGGCUGUAAAAGCCGCUGGAGGGCACGGUCAUGUACCGCGAUCAGCGCGCAGUUCCGGUGCUGCGCUACGUGUUGGAGGGUCUUGCUUACGUCCGUCGCUAAGUGAAGUUUGUGUUUAAUGUCUGGUUCUGUAUAAAACUCUUUCGCCAACACAUUAUGUGAA
This is a long non-coding RNA of Frankliniella occidentalis (western flower thrips), 937 nucleotides long. RefSeq lists it as uncharacterized. Lineage: Eukaryota; Metazoa; Arthropoda; Insecta; Thysanoptera; Thripidae. The record is from RefSeq and is a predicted model, not a curated record. The transcript has 2 exons.